Molecule: ribosomal RNA, 253 nt
Filed under: uncultured bacterium
Lineage: Bacteria
Description: partial 16S ribosomal RNA
Rfam family: Bacterial small subunit ribosomal RNA
Source: RNAcentral
UACGUAGGGGGCGAGCGUUGUCCGGAUUUAUUGGGCGUAAAGAGCGUGUAGGCGGCCAGGUAGGUCUGCUGUGAAAACUCGAGGCUCAACCUCGAGACGUCGGCGGAAACCAUCUGGCUAGAGUCCGGAAGAGGAGAGUGGAAUUCCUGGUGUAGCGGUGAAAUGCGCAGAUAUCAGGAGGAACACCAAUUGCGAAGGCAGCUCGCUGGGACGUUACUGACGCUGAGACGCGAAAGCGUGGGGAGCAAACAGG